CCUACGGGCGGCAGCAGUGGGGGAUAUUGCACAAUGGGGGAAACCCUGAUGCAGCGACGCCGCGUGUGGGAAGACGGUCCUCUGGAUUGUAAACCACUGUCCCCAGGGACGAAAAUGACGGUACCUGGGGAGGAAGCUCCGGCUAACUACGUGCCAGCAGCCGCGGUAAUACGUAGGGAGCGAGCGUUGUCCGGAAUUCCUGGGUGAAAAGGGAGCGUGGGCGGGGAUGGAAGUUGGGUGUCAAAACUACCGGCUCAACUGGUAGUCGCACUCAAAACUGCAGCUCUUGAGUGAAGUAGAGGCAGGCGGAAGUCCUAGUGUAGCGGUGAAAUGCGUAGAUAUUAGGAGGAACACCAGUGGCGAAGGCGGCCUGCUGGGCUUUUACUGACGCUGAGGCUCGAAAGUGUGGGGAGCAAACAGGAUUAGAUACCCUUGUAGUC
Molecule: ribosomal RNA, 440 nt
Filed under: uncultured bacterium
Lineage: Bacteria
Description: partial 16S ribosomal RNA
Rfam family: Bacterial small subunit ribosomal RNA
Source: RNAcentral